GGCCCUGUGGCGCAAUGGAUAGCGCAUUGGACUUCUAGUUAAAGACAUAGAGAUGCAAUUCAAAGGUUGUGGGUUCGAGUCCCACCAGGGUCA
RNAcentral lists this transfer RNA (93 nucleotides) under Oreochromis niloticus (Nile tilapia). It matches the Rfam family "tRNA". Rfam says of the family: Transfer RNA (tRNA) molecules are approximately 80 nucleotides in length. Their secondary structure includes four short double-helical elements and three loops (D, anti-codon, and T loops). Lineage: Eukaryota; Metazoa; Chordata; Actinopteri; Cichliformes; Cichlidae. The record is from Rfam by way of RNAcentral.